GUUUGAUCCUGGCUCAGAUUGAACGCUGGCGGCAUGCCUUACACAUGCAAGUCGAACGGCAGCACGGGAGCAAUCCUGGUGGCGAGUGGCGAACGGGUGAGUAAUAUAUCGGAACGUGCCCAGUCGUGGGGGAUAACGCAGCGAAAGCUGUGCUAAUACCGCAUACGAUCUACGGAUGAAAGCGGGGGAUCGCAAGACCUCGCGCGAUUGGAGCGGCCGAUAUCAGAUUAGCUAGUUGGUGGGGUAAAAGCCCACCAAGGCGACGAUCUGUAGCUGGUCUGAGAGGACGACCAGCCACACUGGAACUGAGACACGGUCCAGACUCCUACGGGAGGCAGCAGUGGGGAAUUUUGGACAAUGGGCGCAAGCCUGAUCCAGCAAUGCCGCGUGCAGGAUGAAGGCCUUCGGGUUGUAAACUGCUUUUGUACGGAGCGAAACGGCUUCCCUUAAUACGGGGAGCUAAUGACGGUACCGUAAGAAUAAGCACCGGCUAACUACGUGCCAGCAGCCGCGGUAAUACGUAGGGUGCGAGCGUUAAUCGGAAUUACUGGGCGUAAAGCGUGCGCAGGCGGUUAUAUAAGACAGAUGUGAAAUCCCCGGGCUCAACCUGGGACCUGCAUUUGUGACUGUAUAGCUAGAGUACGGUAGAGGGGGAUGGAAUUCCGCGUGUAGCAGUGAAAUGCGUAGAUAUGCGGAGGAACACCGAUGGCGAAGGCAAUCCCCUGGACCUGUACCGACGCUCAUGCACGAAAGCGUGGGGAGCAAACAGGAUUAGAUACCCUGGUAGUCCACGCCCUAAACGAUGUCAACUGGUUGUUGGGUCUUCACUGACUCAGUAACGAAGCUAACGCGUGAAGUUGACCGCCUGGGGAGUACGGC
Molecule: ribosomal RNA, 879 nt
Filed under: uncultured bacterium
Lineage: Bacteria
Description: bacterial SSU rRNA
Rfam family: Bacterial small subunit ribosomal RNA
Source: RNAcentral